CGCGUGAGGGAGAAGGCCUCUGGGCUGUAAACCUCUUUUCUCAAGGAAGAAGAUCUGACGGUACUUGAGGAAUAAGCCACGGCUAAUUCCGUGCCAGCAGCCGCGGUAAUACGGGAGUGGCAAGCGUUAUCCGGAAUUAUUGGGCGUAAAGCGUCCGCAGGNGGCCUUGNAAGUCUGCCGUUAAAGCGUGGAGCUUAACUCCAUUUNAGCGGUGGAAACUACNANGCUAGAGUGUGGUAGGGGCAGAGGGAAUUCCCGGUGUAGCGGUGAAAUGCGUAGAUAUCGGGAAGAACACCAGUGGCGAAGGCGCUCUGCUGGGCCAUAACUGACNCUCAUGGACGAAAGCCAGGGGAGCGAAAGGGAUU
RNAcentral lists this ribosomal RNA (365 nucleotides) under uncultured cyanobacterium. RNAcentral's name for it is "bacterial SSU rRNA". It matches the Rfam family "Bacterial small subunit ribosomal RNA", at positions 398 to 779 of the family's 1533-position model. The record is from RNAcentral. Lineage: Bacteria; Bacillati; Cyanobacteriota.